Molecule: ribosomal RNA, 748 nt
Filed under: uncultured Lachnospiraceae bacterium
Lineage: Bacteria; Bacillati; Bacillota; Clostridia; Lachnospirales; Lachnospiraceae
Description: bacterial SSU rRNA
Rfam family: Bacterial small subunit ribosomal RNA
Source: RNAcentral
GAUGAACGCUGGCGGCGUGCUUAACACAUGCAAGUCGAACGAAGCUGCCUAAAGGAAGUUUUCGGAUGGAAUUUAGGUAGACUUAGUGGCGGACGGGUGAGUAACGCGUGGAUAACCUGCCUUAUACAGGGGGAUAACGGAGAGAAAUUUCCGCUAACACCGCAUAAGACCACAGCACCGCAUGGUGCAGGGGUAAAAUAUUUAUAGGUAUAAGAUGGAUCCGCGUCCGAUUAGCUAGUUGGUGAGGUAAAGGCCCACCAAGGCGACGAUCGGUAGCCGGCCUGAGAGGGUGAACGGCCACAUUGGGACUGAGACACGGCCCAAACUCCUACGGGAGGCAGCAGUGGGGAAUAUUGGACAAUGGGGGAAACCCUGAUCCAGCGACGCCGCGUGAGUGAAGAAGUAUUUCGGUAUGUAAAGCUCUAUCAGCAGGGAAGAAAAUGACGGUACCUGACUAAGAAGCCCCGGCUAACUACGUGCCAGCAGCCGCGGUAAUACGUAGGGGGCAAGCGUUAUCCGGAUUUACUGGGUGUAAAGGGAGCGCAGACGGCAAUGCAAGUCUGAAGUGAAAGGCGUGGGCUCAACCCAUGAACUGCUUUGGAAACUGUAUAGCUUGAGUGUCGGAGGGGUAAGCGGAAUUCCUAGUGUAGCGGUGAAAUGCGUAGAUAUUAGGAGGAACACCGGAGGCGAAGGCGGCUUACUGGACGACAACUGACGUUGAGGCUCGAAGGCGUGGGGAGCAAACAGG